This 253-nucleotide ribosomal RNA is filed under the name uncultured bacterium. RNAcentral's name for it is "partial 16S ribosomal RNA". It matches the Rfam family "Bacterial small subunit ribosomal RNA", at positions 524 to 776 of the family's 1533-position model. The record is from RNAcentral.
UACGUAGGGUGCAAGCGUUAAUCGGAAUUACUGGGCGUAAAGCGUGCGCAGGCGGUUGUGUAAGACAGAUGUGAAAUCCCCGGGCUCAACCUGGGAACUGCAUUUGUGACUGCACAACUGGAGUGCGGCAGAGGGGGAUGGAAUUCCGCGUGUAGCAGUGAAAUGCGUAGAUAUGCGGAGGAACACCGAUGGCGAAGGCAAUCCCCUGGGCCUGCACUGACGCUCAUGCACGAAAGCGUGGGGAGCAAACAGG